This 671-nucleotide long non-coding RNA is filed under the name Elaeis guineensis (African oil palm). RNAcentral describes it as "long non-coding RNA (EGUI_LNC058538)". The record is from RNAcentral. Lineage: Eukaryota; Viridiplantae; Streptophyta; Magnoliopsida; Arecales; Arecaceae.
UGGUCGUCAGAUAUUUUGACGCUCGGUAUGCUGGUACUGGAGCCUUUUCGAAAAAGGUUACUUCUUUUUGAGAUUUUCACUGGGGCGUGGCUCUAGGUACGGUGCAAUAAUUAUUUUGUCAGCUACCAGCCAUUUUCAACAGCCUGCCAAAGUGAGUGGGACACACAGUAAGUACAGACCGAUCAGAGGAGAUCCACGAUCAUAACCGCUCCAAGUCCUGUUGCCUAUUUAAACACGUCUUCCCCCUUAGGGUUUUCACCCUGCCUGAGAGAGUCCUUCGGUCCCUUCUUCUUCUCCGAGAGCUCCAGCCUCCUCUAGCAUCCUUCUCGACCUUAGGCAUCCUCCAGGUCUUCCAUCGUCCUUGCUGCCCUCCCGCACUCCCCAAGCCAACCUAGGUUAGUCCUGGAACUUCUCGCUGUUUUUUUAUUUUUUUUUGUGCCCUGUUUGUUUAGCUUCCUUAAGGGCCUGUUCGCUAUUUUUCUAAUUUUUUUGGAAUUUUGUAGCUUUCAUUCGAUCCAAAAUGUCUUCCGAUAUUUCCUCUUUUAGUGGUUCUAGGAGUUUGUCAGCCCCAGUUCUCUAUAGUACUGGUACCAUAGACAAACCCGUAGCUAGGACCGAACCUUGUCCGACCUUUGCGCCAGACACCAUCCCUGGCUCCUUGACUCCGGAUG